This 468-nucleotide ribosomal RNA is filed under the name uncultured bacterium. Its description in RNAcentral is "bacterial SSU rRNA". It matches the Rfam family "Bacterial small subunit ribosomal RNA", at positions 912 to 1382 of the family's 1533-position model. The record is from RNAcentral.
AGACGGGACCCCGCACAAGCGGUGGAUCAUGUUGUUUAAUUCGAUGAUACGCGAAGAACCUUACCAGGUCUUGACAUCCCUUGCAAAGCUAUGGAGACAUAGUGGAGGUUAUCAAGGAGACAGGUGGUGCAUGGUUGUCGUCAGCUCGUGUCGUGAGAUGUUGGGUUAAGUCCCGCAACGAGCGCAACCCCUGUGGUUAGUUGCCAGCAAGUAGCGUUGGGCACUCUAGCCAGACUGCCGGUGAUAAAUCGGAGGAAGGUGGGGACGACGUCAAAUCAUCAUGCCCUUUAUGUCCUGGGCUACACACGUACUACAAUGGCCGUUACAACGGGAAGCGAAGGAGCAAUCCGGAGCAAAUCCCUUAAAGGCGGUCCCAGUUCAGAUUGUGGGCUGAAACUCGCCCACAUGAAGGCGGAAUUGCUAGUAAUUGCAGAUCAGCAUGCUGCAGUGAAUACGUUCCCGGGCCUU